Molecule: small RNA, 606 nt
Filed under: chicken gut metagenome
Source: RNAcentral
AUAUAUAUCGAUGGUGCAUUAUUCUAGUCAUACUUGAGUUUAUGAGGGUGGGGCUAAAAAUCCACUAAAGGGCAUAUCGUUGAAGUUCUUUGAAUGUGCGCGAAACGCCAAGUUUGUGUGUGUUCAGGGAGUAAGAGAUUUGGGUAUUAUAUAAUGGCAUAUAUAAGAUUCCCUGAUUUCGCGGAGGCUUAAUUUAUGAUAAAUGUAUCUUUUUAUACAUAAUUUAAGAGUAACCUGUGAUGCGUGCCAAGACACAAAAAGCACAGAGUAGCCUGUCUUGAGUGAAUGUAUUGGGAUUAAAUUAUUAGUAAAACAUAGUUUUGGCCAAAUUAGUUUUACUGUACUUAUGAAAUUUCAUUUGCAAAAAGGACUAAUAAACUUGUAGAGUAUGUUAAGGAAAACUUCUAGAAUGUUUGCUUCCAUAGAAGCAUAGAGGUCUUUGGAUUAAGGUACAGAUUUAAGUGGCAAUCUGGUAUCUAUAAAAUAAAUUAUAGAUAUUUUCCUUAAACGGAAACGGCAAUAGCAGUAAUGCUAUGUGGAAAAUAGAGAAAUUCGACCAGACCUAAACUGUAAAAUUUACUUAGACUUUUACCAUCUCAAUUAAAA